Molecule: ribosomal RNA, 433 nt
Filed under: uncultured bacterium
Lineage: Bacteria
Description: partial 16S ribosomal RNA
Rfam family: Bacterial small subunit ribosomal RNA
Source: RNAcentral
AACGAACGCUGGCGGCAUGCCUAACACAUGCAAGUCGAACGAGACCUUCGGGUCUAGUGGCGCACGGGUGCGUAACGCGUGGGAACCUGCCCUUAGGUUCGGAAUAACUCCCCGAAAGGGGUGCUAAUACCGGAUAAUGUCUUCGGACCAAAGAUUUAUCGCCUUUGGAUGGGCCCGCGUUGGAUUAGCUAGUUGGUAGGGUAAAAGCCUACCAAGGCGACGAUCCAUAGCUGGUCUGAGAGGAUGAUCAGCCACACUGGGACUGAGACACGGCCCAGACCCCGGCGGGGGGCAGGAAGGGGAAAUAUUAGCAAGGGGAAAAAAGCUUUAUCCGGCAUCGCCGGGAAAAGAAAAAGGGCCUUGGGUUUGUAAACUUUUUUUCCCGGUGAUAAUAAUACCAGUCCCGGGGAAAAAGGCUCGGGCUACCCCGGUC